UCCCACGCCGCGUCAGUCAAACACCGGCCCUCUUUCUCCCAAUCCCCGCAACCGCCGCGCCCGGCACACCUCCCUCCUCCACUCCUCCCCGCAUCUCACCCUUCCCCGCUGAGCUUGUUCCUCUAGCCACCCACUCGUCUCCUCCUCCUCCUAUCUCUCUCUUCUAGCUUCCUCCUCCUUCCUGAUCUCUGCGUCGGUCGGACCGCGAGAGGAGCGGCGGUGGUGGAGACGCUCCGGUGGCGGCAUCGAGUUGCGAACCCCAAGAACCAGGUCUGGGGGUUCGGUUCCAAGGCGCGGACGGCUUCUCCAUCUAUGACGCCGAGGGAAAGUGCACACCCCACUCCCCUCCUCCUGUGCGAACCCUACGAGAGAGAGAGGAAGAUGAGAGGGAGGGAGAGAGAAUGACCGGCGUCGGCCUGCGCCGGCGAGGACGGGCGCGACCUGGAGGUUGGCCGCUGCUCGAUCUGCUCUUGGAUGGGGAACUUCAACGAAGCUGGGGUUCGGGCACGUUGCACCGGAGGCCGCACUCCACCUCUUCCUCGUGGUGCGGCGGACGGCAGCUCUUGCAGUCGUGCGGCCGACGGCGGCCUCAGCGGGUGGUCGACGACACUUGCAUCUGGUGCUCUACCCAUGGAUUCCGGCCCAGCCCGAAAUACUCAGGCCUCGGCCAAUGGUGGAGAAGACAGACUACAGGGACAAGCCGCUGGAGCACGUGUUCAUGGGAUGUUCGCGCGCAAGAUGCAGAAGUUCGCCUGAAGGAAGAAGAGUUGGCCGGCGAGGAUGAAGAGAAGGCGGGAUGCGAGGUGCUUGCACACGCAGCAGCAGGAGGCCGUCCGUAAGGUGCUCCUCUGGAUGCUCCCUUCCGGCAUUGGGCCUAGGUGUUCAACACCGCCCUCACCAUCCCCUUCUUCCAUUGGCUCAUCGGCCCAUCAGAGGCUGUCAAUGCUGAGAAGCGAACUUGGAAAUCAGCUCGCUAACAAGAGUCGGAAUUUGAAUCUGAGGCAAGUUUUACAUUCCCCAAUUUGUCUAUUGAACCCAUGGUCUCUCUUUCUUCUGCAUUAUUUCUCAUUCAUUAUCUAAGAUAUAAUUUCGACUUCACUGCAUCGUGUUGUUUGGUUUAUAAUGCCGGUUGAGCUCAUUUCUAAUUGUUCACAACUACUUAAUUUUUUGUUGUGAUUUUGCAAGAUAUUUAAAUUAUUGUAUUUAGAAAUUGUUAUACUGAUUCUCGAUGCUCUGUUCAUGGCUUUUUUCUUAUUUUAUUCUUCUUUGCUUUUUUCCUUUCCUGCAAGACGAUGUCGAGUCAUGUAAUAUGUUCAAAGAAGAGAGAAUCUGCAUUUUAUGAAUCCUUUCUUCUUUCUUCAUUGUUACUUCAAGUUAGUGAAUUCAUUUAAGUUGUAUUGAGCAGCUUCAUGUGCAUGGUUUCUUCAUCUACACAUCUUAUUCAGUCACGAGGCCAGUAAGAUCUUUUGCCUUCUAGAAAAAGGGAGAUGCAAUUUAGACCUUACUCUUCCAACUUGAUCUUUAACUUGCUACUACUGUUUCUAAGCAUUUUCCCAAGCAUUUUUUAUUUUCUUCAGAGAAUGAACUCACCUUAUUCAGUGGAUGUGCCAAGUAAAAAAAAAUAGAAACUGAACAAUUAGUUCCACUCUUAAAUUUUGUACAACGGUCCAAAUUAUCCAAUAAAUCAUUUGUUAGCAGGGUCUAAUUAUAGAAGUUGAAUCAGUUGUUCCAAAUUACAAUGUGUGACUUAUUCCAUUUGUUUAUCCUUUUGUCCUUUUAAUCAAGAACAAUGUUUAGAGCUUACAUGGUUGUCCAAAUUUAGUUCUGUAAAAGAGGAAUAUUAAUAUCAUGCAACGAUGAGUGCAGAUUAGGAUAGUUAUAGAGUUCUUCCUCAGUUUUCAUUGAGCAAAGAUUGAAUCUGUAUGGUUUUUUCUAAUACCAAGUAAAUCUUGGUCUGCAUUCUGUUAGUUUUCCUACUGAGUUUUUUUGGCUAUUUUCGUUUAAAUUGGUAGCUGAUGUGAAAAAGUGUGUGUUGACAUGCAUGCAACCAAAUCAUGUAUUAAUGUGAGGUACUACAUAUACUUGCCUAUCUCUUUCCAGAAGCACAACCCUCUUGAUCCAACUAGGAACAUCAAAACCAAAUGGGAAAUCAUUGAGUGGACUUCAGAUGGCCAUGCUUACGACAAGGAGGCGGGGUUGGGGGAGGGGGUCGGUCGUGGAGGGAGGCUCGCCUGCCGGAGCAGCAGGAACAAGGAGGCGGGGUCGGCCGUGGAAUAUUUAGCUGGAUGUGCGAUCUCUUCUGCCGCUACGUCUCCGUUCGACUCGCCAAGGUUUGUUGUUCUCCUUUUUACAUGUGUGUGUGUUUUACUUUCACUAUCUUCUAUAUCAUGCUAUCUGCCUUCAUGAUCGUUUAAGUAUUAUUAUGGUGUCUGCCAUGCUGAUCGUUUAAAUAUUUCGGAUACGGCAGGGCAUUGUGUGUUGUUCGUUCUCUUGCUACUUAUAGUUCGUGUAUGCGUGUGAGCAGGAUCUAUGCACUUGUUUCCGUUGUUAUACUUGUUUUGGAGACUAAGGUAGCUCGGUGUGCUUUGUCGUCGCUUUCGUGUCUGUGUGAGGUUGUAGACGACGGUUCUGUUCUUGCUGGUGUAGAACUCGAGCUCCCAGGGGACGGUUCUACUCCAGUGCCACAAAGAGAUGUUUUCCGAGCUUGGCUUGGUGUGGUUUUAUGAAUGGCUAUGAGCAGGAUGCUCUACAGGUCUUGCGUAUUUUGCAAGGUUUAUAUGGACUUUUCGUUCAUGACAAUAACUAUGAAUGUAUGAUGGCCUAUAGGAGAUCUUUCUGUUCAAGAACAUUGCGGUUUCUUUGAUUCCUACUAUGCUAUUUACUAAGUCUGCAGGCCAGCAUAUUAUUUAGAUUCUUUCUAACUACCUUACUUCGAAGCUCAGUACUGGUCUCCUUCAAGCUACAACCCCAAGGCGAGCUCUGGUGGUCAAGCUGAUGCUUCUUCGCCUCCUGUUGAAGAAAAGGAUGAUAAGGAUGUCCAGGCUCGAGUGACCAGGAACAAGUGGUGCUGCUUUUUAUGCUGUCCAUCUAUAUAUGCAUCCCUUCAGUUUGUACAGACAAAACAAAUAUUCAUUUCUGACUAGAACAAAACUUGCAGUUAAGAAACUCUACUGCUGGAAUGGGAGCUGGGGUACUAAACAUAAUAUAGUUUGAGCCUGCCAGUUCUUUUUAAUCCUAUGGCCUGUAUUUUUGUAGCAAUCGUCUUUUAUGUCUGGUUCCCAAAGUUAUUAGUUAGCCUGCCUAUUUCUCGCCGUUUGAUAACCUAUAUUAUAACUAUAGAGAAUAUAGUUUGAGCCUGCCAGUUCUUCUGCCUUGGAUAUGAAAUAAUGAGGCAGUUUUAAUAUUGUCGUAGAUUCACCUGAGUUUAUUUUAAACUACAGGAUGCAUCACUGAUGGAGAAAUACCUUACAGAAUGAUGCUGAGCCCCGUCUGGAAUGGAACCUUUUUGGAGCUGCUUAUGCUUGGUGCGGAGCGGGAAGCCUAUGAUAGCAACAGUAUUGUACUCCAUAGAACUGGAACUCUAUACCUUUCUUAUGCAGCUCUUCCUUUUGUUGUCUUCCCUAGAAGGGGCUGAUGUAGUUUUUCUGAAUUACAUGUCUCCGCUUUGUUCUACGGCAGAUGCUUCUACUUUGGAAUGGUAGCAACAAUACUGGACUCCACUGAGAACUGGAACUCUAUACCUUUCUUUUGUAGCUCUUGCUUUCGUAGUCAUUGCUGGAAGGUGCAGAUGUAGUUUUCCAUUUGUUCUACGACAGAUGCUUCUACACUGGAAUGGAACCUUUUUGGAGAUCAACAUGUUUCUGACUUGUUGUACAAUA
Triticum dicoccoides is the source of this 3878-nucleotide RNA transcript. RefSeq lists it as uncharacterized. NCBI's taxonomy places the organism in Eukaryota, Viridiplantae, Streptophyta, Magnoliopsida, Poales, Poaceae. The transcript is spliced from 6 exons. The record is from RefSeq and is a predicted model, not a curated record.